AGUGAACGCUGGCGGCGUGCUUAACACAUGCAAGUCGAACGAGAACGGAUUAUAGCUUGCUAUAAUUGUCAGCUAAGUGGCGCACGGGUGAGUAAUGUAUAGGUAAUAUGCCUCUUACUAAGGGAUAACAAAUGGAAACGUUUGCUAAUACCUUAUACUCCUUAUUAACAGAAGUUAAUAAGGGAAAGAUUUAUUGGUAAGAGAUUAGCCUGUAUUGUAUCAGUUAGUUGGUGGGGUAAUGGCUUACCAAGACUAUGACACAUAACUGGUUUGAGAGGAUGAUCAGUCGCAGUGGAACUGAGACACGGUCCAUACUCCUACGGGAGGCAGCAGUGGGGAAUAUUGCACAAUGGACGAAAGUCUGAUGCAGCAACGCCGCGUGGAGGAUGACACAUUUCGGUGCGUAAACUCCUUUUAUAUGAGAAGAUAAUGACAGUAUUAUAUGAAUAAGCACCGGCUAACUCCGUGCCAGCAGCCGCAGUAA
This 484-nucleotide ribosomal RNA is filed under the name uncultured bacterium. RNAcentral's name for it is "partial 16S ribosomal RNA". It matches the Rfam family "Bacterial small subunit ribosomal RNA", at positions 29 to 523 of the family's 1533-position model. The record is from RNAcentral.